RNAcentral lists this unclassified non-coding RNA (387 nucleotides) under soil metagenome. RNAcentral's name for it is "partial contains 5.8S ribosomal RNA, internal transcribed spacer 2, and large subunit ribosomal RNA". The stretch from base 1 to 120 matches the Rfam family "5.8S ribosomal RNA", at positions 35 to 154 of the family's 154-position model. The record is from RNAcentral.
GAUGAAGAACGCAGCGAAAUGCGAUAAGUAAUGUGAAUUGCAGAAUUCAGUGAAUCAUCGAAUCUUUGAACGCACCUUGCACCCUUUGGCAUUCCGAAGGGUAUGCUCGUUUGAGUGUCAUUGUACUCUCACACUCUCCGAUCCUAUGGAUUCGGGGAGCGGUGGACUUGGGUGUUGCUGCCUUUCCUUGUGGCUCACCUCAAAUGUGUCAGUGCACCUCUUGGUUGGACAUAGUACGGCGUGAUAAGUGUCUUCGCCGGCACCUCGCAAGAGGGUGGCCGAUCGGGAGCUCUGUGCUUUCAAACCGUCUUCGGACAAUUUCUGACAACUUGACCUCAAAUCAGGCAGGACUACCCGCUGAACUUAAGCAUAUCAAUAAGCGGAGGA